GGCAACUUGGCCGAGCGGUCUAAGGCGCCACGUUAAGGAGCACCCUUAAUACAAUCUUGGGAUUCCGUGGUCCGAAAGGGCGUGAGUUCGAAUCUCACAGUUGUCA
Molecule: transfer RNA, 106 nt
Filed under: Lasiosphaeris hirsuta
Lineage: Eukaryota; Fungi; Ascomycota; Sordariomycetes; Sordariales; Lasiosphaeriaceae
Rfam family: tRNA
About the family: Transfer RNA (tRNA) molecules are approximately 80 nucleotides in length.
Source: Rfam by way of RNAcentral